Molecule: long non-coding RNA, 2308 nt
Organism: Suricata suricatta (meerkat)
Lineage: Eukaryota; Metazoa; Chordata; Mammalia; Carnivora; Herpestidae
Exons: 5
Source: RefSeq, a predicted model, not a curated record
CUGCCAGUCUUCAAGAAUAACCUCGCUUCUGCAGUGGUUUUGAAGAAAUUCAGUGAAGUAACAGACUGUGUGAUGGAAGCAUAUUUCAGUUAAAAUUAACCUUGGGAACAAUUAAAUGGUACUCCUGUCUCAGAAGUUUUCUGAAGCUCCGGGAGUAAAAUGGAAAGUCAAUGGCCACUAAGAAAAGCGAAAGGGAUCAUGACCUGAAGGUUUGCUUCUCCCCUCGCCUCCAUAAGGACUGAGGCCAGGGUUCCCUGCUUGUUGCUUGGUGCCAGCAGUGGCGGCCAGCUGUCCAGCGCCCCUGCCAUCGCACACAGCUCGCUGAGCCUUACCUGGACCACAGCACCUUCGCUCUCCCCAGUCACUGGAAUCACCACAGAAGUGCGCGUUUGGGGGUUGUUCUGGGGCAGAAGUGAGACAAACUGAGAAUCAUGAGCCAGGGGAGCAAGAACAAAGACUGCGGGUGGAAGACCGCUCUUCCCAAAGGGACUCUCAUCAGCCUGCGUGAAUAAGGAUUCAUUUCCUACUUCAGACACGUCUACUUCUGGUUGGUUUUAGAUUCCCAGGGACAGUUCCAAGGAAGUUCCCAGGUACUUGGUUAGCUCUGUGAAAUGAGUCAAAACAGCCCCACACACCUGGACCAGCGACCAUCCCGCCUGUGCUCUGUUAGAACGGAGAGACUGUCCAGGGACUCCCAGGGGGCCUACGUUUUGAUCGUCAGCAAGGCAGUGACAUUCGGAUCCCACAGACUUCCUGAGUCGAGAGAGAAUCACAUGGACGGAGUUGCAAACUGCCCCUUAUUUAAGUCUCCCAAAGGGCUUGACCAAAACAAAUGAUGGAGAGGAGGAGCCCCGGGCCAGAAGACAUGUUUAAGGUUAUAGAGAGUGAAUAAAGCAGGACUACAGCUACUAGAACAUGCUGGGUUCCAGGAGUUUCAUCCAUUAGACCGUUCUGUUGGCUUUACUGGGUGUGAAGAAUGAAGGAAAUGCCUCACUGCUUAGUGGAUACCCCGACAGGCCUACUCAGUGAGACACGGCUGCUCGAUGGAGUCGGCACAGGGCUGGCUGGGGACCGGCCCUCUCUGGGUAACCUGGACACACAACUCCCCUGCUCUGGGCCUCAGUUUCUUCGUGGAAGAUGGAUUGGGCUGUGCUGGCUCCAGGAUCUUCUAAUAGCAAAGGCAAGCAUAUUUACUUACCUGCCUCGACGCACUUUUUUUUGUAUUUCAUCAUGUGGUCGAGGCAGCCUGGAGAUUUAAGUGUAAGUUUUUCCAUGUUAGAAGAAGGUACCUCUGCUCCACACCCUCACCAGCAAGCACACACGCACACAUGCUUCUCACACUUGUAACAAAUUGCCAGAACAUUCAAGAUGUGAGGUAAGAUAACAAAUUUAAAUAAACAGUAACAUUUGGCAUUUGGCAGUUAAACAGAAGAUUACCCACAAAGUGAUAACCGGAGUCUAAUUUAAAUAGAACCUUUAUCAGACGAGUAUCUAUGAUCCCCAGGAGAAGACUCAAACCUUUAAAAAAGCAGGUUUGAUAAUAUAUGUAAAUACUGCCCCUUCCAGGAAGUGGAACUCAAUCCACCCCACACCCCUACCAUGGAACAGGGGGAGAUUUAAUCAUUUGUUUAAGAAAAAGAAAAAAAAACCCACAGUAGAGAAAUGGAAAAUCCAGUAGAUUUACAAUGGAGGUACCUGGCAGAAACCACUCACCCAAGUGAUGAUGGUGAACAUGACCGGUGACGUGGUGUGUAUGUCACCCGCCCCUGAUAGGAGGCGAGGAUCAGGACACUCCACCUCUGCACUGUCUCUCCAGAACCUACCACCCCCAGUCUAAUCAGGAGACAGACAUCAGACAGAGCCAGAUGAGGGGGGCGUUCUGCAGGAUGCCUGGCCAGCACUCCAGAUUGUCAGGGUCAUGAAGAACGAAGAAAGACCCAAAGCCUGUCACAGACCAGAGGAGGCUGAGGGACCCGAGGACUAAAUAAGGACUGGCACAGAAAGAGGGCAUUCAUGUAAAAGCAGGUGGCAUUGAAAUAAAGUUUGGAGUUUAGUUAAUAGGAAUAUACCCAUGUUGGUUUCUAGCCUUUGACAAUUGUACUGUGGUGACAUAAAAGGUUAAUGAUGGGAGAAACUGGGAGAGAGCUAUAUGGGGAUCCUUUGGACAUCUACACAUUCUCUGUAUUAUCUUUGCAAUUUCUCUGUAAAGUUAAAAUUACUCCAAAAUUCAACAUGUAUGUUUCCUAAAAUGAGGUUUGGUCGCAUCAAGAAAGCUGAAAACUACUGUGUAGUAAGUUGCGGGGCACCA